RNAcentral lists this ribosomal RNA (253 nucleotides) under uncultured bacterium. Its description in RNAcentral is "partial 16S ribosomal RNA". It matches the Rfam family "Bacterial small subunit ribosomal RNA", at positions 524 to 776 of the family's 1533-position model. The record is from RNAcentral. RNAcentral also lists the same sequence under 1 other name.
UACAGAGGGUGCAAGCGUUGUUCGGAAUUAUUGGGCGUAAAGCGCGUGUAGGCGGCUUGGCAAGUCGGGUGUGAAAUCCCUCAGCUCAACUGAGGAAGUGCGCCCGAAACUGCUUGGCUUGAGUACCGGAGAGGAUGGUGGAAUUCCCGAAGUAGAGGUGAAAUUCGUAGAUAUCGGGAGGAACACCGGUGGCGAAGGCGACCAUCUGGACGGAUACUGACGCUGAGACGCGAAAGCGUGGGUAGCAAACAGG